Molecule: non-coding RNA, 1663 nt
Organism: Peromyscus maniculatus bairdii (prairie deer mouse)
Lineage: Eukaryota; Metazoa; Chordata; Mammalia; Rodentia; Cricetidae
Source: RefSeq, a predicted model, not a curated record
GAUAACUACCACCAGUCACCAUCAUCAGUUUUCUACUCUUCCUCUUCAGUUAUCAACAUUUCUGUCUCAUCACAUAAUUAUUCCACUGUGAGAUUUGCCCCAGCAACUUAACUCUAGGGAAUGUGUAGGCAGGUGCCAUAAUGCUGAUCUAGAAUGAUUUAGAAAGAACAAAAAGUAAUAGCAGCUAGUAUUGUAUAAUCAUACACACAAGGCACUUUGCUGAAUACUUUUUUGCAUUAUCUCUGUUCAUGAAGGAGGUAUUGUUAUUAUUCCCAGCUUUUUGAUAAAACUGCAGCUGAAGGGCUGGCAUGACAAUUCAGUGUGUCUUUGUGGAGCAGCAGUUGGGCAACAUCCGGAAGCUUGCUUCAAGGUGCAGAACAACCAGAUCAGAAGCUAAAUGUUAACAAGUUCUCAGGUGGCAUUUAUGCGCAUAAAAAUUCAAGAGUAGAAGAUGUGGUAGGGGGCCAUUACUCUGACACAGACAGGCCCUAGUUUAAACCAACUCAAUACAGAAGCGAAGCUAUUGGCAAAAGCUAUAUUCUCAAGUCAACCUGUGGGAACGUAUUAAACUCAACAUUUGGCCAGAAAUUUGUCUUUUGUUAUGAAGUACCCCUCAGGGACAACGUGUAAGUGAAAAUCUGGAGUGACAGGUGAGAAACGUAAGUUGAAAGGAUUUCUAUUUGACUAGUGGGGUUUAAUUAGUCCAGCGAUCAUCUUAAAUCCUUGUUGAAGGCCUUUCCUAUCCACUGCUUCCCCAUCUUCUAGUCAGCUCAGACUACAGUAAGCAGUCCUGACCUGAAUCUCACCGGGCACUGGCUCACUGUACCUUUUGUUCAGCGCUUAGGCACACACUCUUUUUCCCAGUUCUAUCACAGAAUUACUUCUUAAACCGGAUAAUCAUGGUCUGGAACUCUGUAAACCUCUAAUAAAUAAAAAGUAAGCUGAAGCGGCCUGUAUCCCUCUACAAAUUGGGGCACUUCUCUGAGCACUCGAGGCUUAAGGCAUCUCUGAUGUCAAAAGUCUUAAUCCAGCUACAGUAUCUACAGUAUAUAACUCACCAGAGGCUAAAGCCACUGCAGGAUUAACAGUGGCCGGGUCACUGCAAACACAGUUUAGUGUGCAAUCUGCCUUGGGCCUUGUCUUGUCCUGUCAAAUAGAUAUGUAUCACGUAAGUAGAGACAAGUAAGAGACUAACACUCUUUACAGAAAUACUCUUCUGGUCUGGAUCACCUGGUCCCUGUAGCUUUUGCAUUUAAAAGGCUGGUUUGUGGCGAUGAACUGGUUUUCUUCCUGGGUAUUAAUAUCAAAGCUUAUAUGAAUGAAGCUUAACUGUGUAAAGGGGACUGUGUAUCAUUUUAAUUUUAUCCCUCGGAGCACCUAGCAUGGAGCCUUGCACAUACUAGUAAUUAUGAUGAAAGCUCACAUUUACUUUACUUUAAACAAUGCCACAUCUUAACUCAUUUAAUCCCUGUAGACACCCUAAGGGGCAGAAGCAAUUAUUGCUCUCAUUGGAAGAUGAGGUUACUGCAACAAAAAGUGUUUCAGCAGCUUCCCUAAGGUUACAAAGCCAGCAAGUGGUUUUCACAAAGUCAUUUCAACUCCAGCAUCAUGCUCUUCCCUAGUGGCCCAUGAUGUCAAAUUGUAGCUUGAAAGACUAAUUGCU